UACGUAGGGUCCAAGCGUUAUUCGGAAUUACUGGGCGUAAAGCGUACGUAGGCGGUUUGAUAAGUUGGAUGUGAAAUCCUGUGGCUCAACCAUAUGGACUGUGUCCAAAACUAUCAGACUAGAGCAUAGUAGAGGCAAGUGGAAUUUGCGGUGUAGGAGUGACAUCCGUAGAUAUCGCAAGGAACACCAAUGGCAAAGGCAGCUUGCUGGGCUAUUGCUGACGCUCAGGUACGAAAGCGUGGGGAGCGAACGGGAUUAGAUACCCCGGUAGUCCACGCCGUAAACGAUGAUCACUAGCAGUAUGGAGAUUCGACCCUCUGUGUUGCAAAGCUAACGCGUUAAGUGAUCCGCCUGGGGAGUACGGGCGCAAGCUUAA
Molecule: ribosomal RNA, 376 nt
Filed under: uncultured bacterium
Lineage: Bacteria
Description: bacterial SSU rRNA
Rfam family: Bacterial small subunit ribosomal RNA
Source: RNAcentral